This 193-nucleotide unclassified non-coding RNA is filed under the name uncultured Amanita. RNAcentral's name for it is "sequence contains ITS2". Lineage: Eukaryota; Fungi; Basidiomycota; Agaricomycetes; Agaricales; Amanitaceae. The record is from RNAcentral.
AAUUAUCAGAAUCGCACUUAGUGAUUUUGGACUGUGGGAUUGCUGGAGUUCUGUUGUGUGGAAAUCAAGCUCUCCUUAAAUAUAUUGGAAGAGUCAACAAUGUAUACUCUAUUGGUGUGAUAAGACAAAUGUUAUCACCAGAGUUGCUGUACGACUGCUUCUAUCUUAAAUGUCCUUUGGACAAAUUGACAAA